UCUUAGUACUGUUAUGCAAAAUGUGGUGAC
Molecule: non-coding RNA, 30 nt
Filed under: Mus musculus (house mouse)
Lineage: Eukaryota; Metazoa; Chordata; Mammalia; Rodentia; Muridae
Source: RNAcentral